AUAGAGCAAUGUGUGUUGCAUCAGUGAGACUGAAGUUCUGAACAUUUAAAGGUCUCCCCACUAAAAAUUAUUUAAAAAUGUAGAGGAUUGUUCGGAUGGAGAUACAUCGGUGAAUGUCAGAGAUGAAGCAGGCCUCUCCAGCAUUAACGAUGGCGAUAUAAAAGCUUGAUGGAAGUCACUUGGAAGAAACAAUGGCGAGAAAAUGAUGGCAUAUCACCUGGAAAUGGACUGGGUAGUGUAUGCAGUUGAGAAAAUUCAGAUAUUGGGGGUAGUUCGAGCAGAGGGGGUGCGGCACAUAAGACUCUGGAUACCCAAGACAUCACGGGUGAGUUUUCUUUUCUUUAUUUGCGCUUUUUCUAUCAUCCGGUCACACAUCAUGUCUCCAUUGUUUGUUAUGUUUGUACAUUCUUUUGCGCCUUAGCCAUGGAUAUAAUUAUAUUGUUGUUGAUUCAGCUAAGACGACUCAUUUGGUAUCUUAGUCACUGCUUCUAUCAACGUCAGCAACUCAAGCCAUCCCAGUCUGUUCAGUCGAGGUGUCUUAGAAUAUGUAUUUACUGAAGAUUACAUUACAGUACUUAAUUUUCUUAAAUAUUAACAAGCAUUUGCCUUUGCGUGAGAUAUUGAGCAUGGGAAGACUAAUUGAGUUGUGAUGUCAUUAUAUAAGUUGCGCACUUGUGCAAAUGUUAUGGAGUUCUGAGCUUUGCAAAUGUUAUGGACCAUAAUGAGGUAAUUUUCAGCUCUCUUGGGACUGCAAGUCUGCUAUCAUUCUUCCUUGCUUUAUUUCCAUAAUAGUUGGAUUCUAAUAAAAAGUUUUAGCUGGUUCAACACUUGCAAGCACUCUUUUUUGUAUUACAAGUUGAUCGUCCACCAUGGUCUCAUAAACAUAAAUUCACAAAAUAUGUGAUAAUUGGCUGGGUAUAAUAUCUGUUGCUGCUCGGUGUCUUUUGUGCAAGUUGCUUUUAUCUGAAUUCCAUGCAAGUUGAAUUUUUAAUCCUAAUAAUGUCGUGGUCCAUGUUGCAUACAUAACUUGCUCUUUAUGAUGUUCUGAUCAUAGUACUCAUGGCCUUUAGUAGAUUGCCUUAGAAUGAAAGGAAUGUAAAGUUGAACAGACUUGGGCGUCAGGCAGAGAAAUCAAAUUGACUUGGGUGUUGCCAGUGAUUAAAGAUGAAUAGAUGAUUAGGUCACUUGCAGGUUCUGUACGUUUUGUGCAAUCUUGGUUUGGAGAAUCAGCAUUUAUAAUUAUCGAUGUAUAUUCAUGUAUUGUUUUGCAAGUUUUGCCAUUUCUCUGAAUGUUUGCAGUAAAAUGUUUGGUUAGAUGACCUCCUUGAUUUCUUUUUGUCUGGCAUAACAAUUAUUGAAGCUAAUAAAGUUUAGCUUACUCUUGGUGUGAAAUGUAUCCAAAUUGCUAUUUUUUUUCUAGACUAGACUGUUAGUAGUAUAAAAUGUAAGAUUGGAAGAAUUUUUUAGAGAAGAGCUUGCAUACCUACAAUGUUGCCUUAUAUCAGAUCUUUUUGCGUGUGUAUAUGUAUGGUAAGGUGCUUUGUUUUGUUUUGAAGCUAUUGCUCUUUAACACUUUCUCCUUUCGUCUUUUUUUCCACGAUCAAUGAAUAUAAGUGUAUUUCAUCCACCAGUAGACGAGAUGAAGACAUUUGGGAGCACAAGUAAAGGUAUGUUAUCAACAUAAAACCGAUACGACCUUCUCUAACAUUUUAAUUGGAUGUGUGUGAUUUGAUAAAUCACAUAUCAGCUGGACGCAUCGAGAGGUCCGAUUGUGGUUUGGGCUGUUGGUCUGAGAGACUUGCAUGACCUCUAUAGUGCAUAUGAGCGAGUGAGCUAAAAGAUCUUUCAUGGUUUUACCACUUAUUCAGAUUGGAGAGCACACAGUCAAGUCACACCAUCGGCAAGAUUAUCAACGUAUACAAAUUAUAAUCUAUAUGGAGGUUGUGCUUAAAUAAAUUAAUGUAUAUCUCUUAAGGACUUAGUACUAUUUGAUAUGGCACCAUUGGGCAGCAACGCCUGUACUAUGUCCUCAACUCACUUGUAUAAAAUAAAGCCAAUAUUUAUUACCAGGUCUAUACAUUA
This is a long non-coding RNA of Lolium perenne, 2082 nucleotides long. RefSeq lists it as uncharacterized. The record is from RefSeq and is a predicted model, not a curated record. NCBI's taxonomy places the organism in Eukaryota, Viridiplantae, Streptophyta, Magnoliopsida, Poales, Poaceae.